UGACCCGCCCUUACACCGGCAGAAGAAGACAUCGGCGCGCAGCGCGCUGAAAAGCGGAGUUCCAUCUCUGCUCUCUCAUUCGACCUGCGGCUCCGCUCGACAUCCUUGUGAUAUCCACGAGUGAAAAGCUAUACUGAAGAUGUCGGACGAGGGUAAACUGUUCAUCGGAGGACUGAGCUUCGAGACCAACGAGGAGUCUCUGGCUGCGGCCUUCGGCAAAUACGGAACCAUAGAGAAAGUGGAUGUGAUCAGAGACAAAGAGACAGGAAGAUCUCGCGGUUUCGGCUUUGUGAAAUAUGAUAAUGCAGAAGAUGCAAAAGAUGCAUUGGACGCCAUGAACGGCAAGACUCUAGAUGGUCGGGCUAUUCGCGUGGAUGAAGCAGGAAAGGGUGGGCGCUCCAGAGGAGGUUUCGGUUCAGGCCCACGAGGUGGCAGAUUCAGUGGGUCCCGGGGGAGAGGUGGACGUGGUUACUCCAGAGACUUUGGAGGUGGGGGAUACAAUGGAGAUAGGGGAUAUGGUGACAGGAGUUAUGGUGACAGAAGCUUUGGAGGUGGAGAAAGGAGCUUUGGUGGUGGUGGAUACAGAAGUGGGGGAUACUCCUCAGGUGGCUACAGAGAAAAUAGGGGCCAGGGUGGAUAUGGUGACCGCUCUGGAUCAUACCGCGAUGGAUAUGACAGCUAUGAAUGAAAAGACUGUUGGAGGCUUCCAUGGAUCUCCUCACAGCUGAAGUGUACAGCUUUAGGUGGCAGUGACUGGUGAUGCAGUUAUCAGGUCCAACGUGGGGCAGCUUUAAGCAGUGUCUACAAGGGAGGAUCCUGCCAACAAAAAGUUUGAGAACUUUGUGAAUAUCAAACGUUGGCUUGCCUGAGAAGCUAAUUUUUCCAAUGUUAUGGCAGGUAUUCAUAGUCCUUGAUAUCCCAAUUCAUUGGGGGGGUGGCGGAUAACAAAUGUAUGCACUAGGGAAUGAACAUUUUUUGCCUUCCAUAUCUUGUCUGAAUAUGAGUCCCUUUCAGACAGUUGGCUUACUUGAAAGAUGGAGUACUGUUGUGAUCAUUGUAAUAAUUUAUUGCACAAGGCACUUCAGCACUAUUAUGCUGUUUUUAACUUUUUGUAUUGAGUUCAAAAAUAAAACUGAAGGAGAAUUAA
Molecule: RNA transcript, 1147 nt
Organism: Xiphias gladius (swordfish)
Lineage: Eukaryota; Metazoa; Chordata; Actinopteri; Istiophoriformes; Xiphiidae
Gene: cirbpa
Gene name: cold inducible RNA binding protein a
Exons: 8
Source: RefSeq, a predicted model, not a curated record